AUUGAACGCUGGCGGCAGGCCUAACACAUGCAAGUCGAACGGUAACAGGAAACAGCUUGCUGUUUCGCUGACGAGUGGCGGACGGGUGAGUAAUGUCUGGGAAACUGCCUGAUGGAGGGGGAUAACUACUGGAAACGGUAGCUAAUACCGCAUAACGUCGCAAGACCAAAGAGGGGGACCCUCGGGCCUCUUGCCAUCGGAUGCGCCCAGAUGGGAUUAGCUUGUUGGUGGGGUAACGGCUCACCAAGGCGACGAUCCCUAGCUGGUCUGAGAGGAUGACCCGCCACACUGGAACUGAGACACGGUCCAGACUCCUACGGGAGGCAGCAGUGGGGAAUAUUGCACAAUGGGCGCAAGCCUGAUGCAGCCAUGCCGCGUGUGUGAAGAAGGCCUUCGGGUUGUAAAGUACUUUCAGCGGGGAGGAAGGGAGUAAAGUUAAUACCUUUGCUCAUUGACGUUACCCGAAGAAGAAGCACCGGCUAACUCCGUG
Molecule: ribosomal RNA, 490 nt
Filed under: uncultured bacterium
Lineage: Bacteria
Description: partial 16S ribosomal RNA
Rfam family: Bacterial small subunit ribosomal RNA
Source: RNAcentral